This is a long non-coding RNA of Sabethes cyaneus, 286 nucleotides long. RefSeq lists it as uncharacterized. The transcript has 3 exons. The record is from RefSeq and is a predicted model, not a curated record. Lineage: Eukaryota; Metazoa; Arthropoda; Insecta; Diptera; Culicidae.
GCAUAAAAGUUGGACAGAUUUCUUAAAGUGAGUUUUAAAGGAAGCGCGAGAAGGAUAGUUGUUUUGUUCGCGGAAAGUGUUUAGGAAAAGCAACAUAGUUUGAGUACGAGUGUACAUACGGAAACGAUUAAAACGGAAAAGUAAAAACACUACAACACUACAAAUAGCGGAAUUGGUGGUUCAAGUUGAACGACGAACGACAGGAAAAGAAGUUCACAUAAAGGCAGAUAGAAAACAAUAAUGUGAGUAGAAAGCAAGAAAAACAUUAAGACAAAAAUAAUACUAA